UGGGGAAUUUUGGACAAUGGGCGAAAGCCNUUUCCAGCCAUGCCGCGUGUCUGAAGAAGGCCUUCGGGUUGUAAAGGACUUUUGUCAGGGAGGAAAUCCCUAGCGUUAAUACCGCUGGGGGAUGACAGUACCUGAAGAAUAAGCACCGGCUAACUACGUGCCAGCAGCCGCGGUAAUACGUAGGGUGCGAGCGUUAAUCGGAAUUACUGGGCGUAAAGCGUGCGCAGGCGGUUUGAUAAGCCAGAUGUGAAAUCCCCGAGCUCAACUUGGGAACUGCGUUUGGAACUGUCAGACUAGAGUGCGUCAGAGGGGGGUGGAAUUCCGCGUGUAGCAGUGAAAUGCGUANAGAUGCGGAGGAACACCGAUGGCGAAGGCAGCCCCCUGGGAUGACACUGACGCUCAUGCACGAAAGCGUGGGGAGCAAACAGGAUUAGAUACCCUGGUAGUCCACGCCCUAAACGAUGUCAAUUAGCUGUUGGGGGUUAGAAUCCCUGGUAGCGUAGCUAACGCGUGAAAUUGACCGCCUGGGGAGUACGGCCGCAAGGUUA
Molecule: ribosomal RNA, 548 nt
Filed under: uncultured bacterium
Lineage: Bacteria
Description: bacterial SSU rRNA
Rfam family: Bacterial small subunit ribosomal RNA
Source: RNAcentral